RNAcentral lists this ribosomal RNA (253 nucleotides) under uncultured bacterium. RNAcentral's name for it is "partial 16S ribosomal RNA". It matches the Rfam family "Bacterial small subunit ribosomal RNA", at positions 524 to 776 of the family's 1533-position model. The record is from RNAcentral.
UACGUAGGGUGCAAGCGUUGUCCGGAAUUAUUGGGCGUAAAGAGCUCGUAGGCGGUUUGUCGCGUCUGCUGUGAAAACCCGAGGCUCAACCUCGGGCCUGCAGUGGGUACGGGCAGACUAGAGUGCGGUAGGGGAGAUUGGAAUUCCUGGUGUAGCGGUGGAAUGCGCAGAUAUCAGGAGGAACACCGAUGGCGAAGGCGGUCUGCUGGGGUAAUGCUGACACUGAUGCGCGACAGCGUGGGGAGCAAACAGG